This is a long non-coding RNA of Carassius auratus (goldfish), 2947 nucleotides long. RefSeq lists it as uncharacterized. NCBI's taxonomy places the organism in Eukaryota, Metazoa, Chordata, Actinopteri, Cypriniformes, Cyprinidae. The transcript has 2 exons. The record is from RefSeq and is a predicted model, not a curated record.
AUCAAUUCCCAAUGGAUUCAGUCAAAUUCCUUCACUCCAAACAUUCUUCUUCUUGAAUAUCCUGUUUCACUCCUCUGAGCAAUAAAAAUGGUCUGUUCUCACAGAGCAAGACCUAACAUUGUCGAAAAAGUUCUAAAGUAAAACACUUUUAAAAGGAAGCAUUUUUCCCCUUUUAUUUAGCUUUGCUGUAGGAAGUUACAGUGAGAUCAGUAUAAUAGAAGACACAGAUUGAAAUAUUCCUGCUAAUUGAAAACCUGGUGAGGAUACCGUGAGGUGGAAAAACAUGUCAGAAAUACCCGUGAGAUUCUGUCCAACGUAUAGGAUUCACUGUCAGAAACAAAGGACCUGGUACAAGUGCACUGGAUUGCCAUUCAUUGUAUGUGGAAGCAAAAGUCAGCAGGGCUACAUGGGAAUAUUGAUAUUCCCUUACCUGAAACCUGUAGGUAACUAAAAAAGGCUACAUUAACCAAAACUAAAGACUGGGAGAAAAACAUAGGAGGGAAAGAACGAACAUGAAGAAACAGGAAAGUUGGAAUGCAAAGAAUAAUCACUGAUGUUCGGCAUUCACUUAUGAUGAACAGAAUGUAAAAGAAAUGAUGCCAGAUAGUAACAAAUCCAAGAAAAGUUUAUUAUGAAUAUGGCACCUGUAAGAUGGUAAAAAAACUGUGUUACAGAAAGACAACCAUGUAUGACAUGUCGCUUUAACUGAUGAAAACCUACAAAAGUAUAAAAUAACCCUGUUGUAAAAUGAAGUAUGUACAUUUUUGAAUUGCAGCAUUAUUCAUGGUAAAUGAACAAAAAAUGUGUUUUCCAAAAAAAUAAGCCAGGCACUCAAAGUUAGCUUCAGUUAGUUUUUUUUUUUUGUCUUUUUCCCUCUGAAAACAAAAAACAAAAUAAAAAUGUACCAUAGUUUUUUCUUUUUAAUAUUUUAAUUUGUUUGUACUUAGAAUUUAUAACACUGUUAACACUGAUACUAAGAGAAUCCCCUUUCUCCCAUAUUCUUCUACUUGGCACCAAGUUCCUCAUAAAAGAAUCUGUAUAAUUGUACAAGAAAUAGUUAAAAACACAGACACAGUCUUCACAGGUAAUGAAGUGAUUUCUCAUAUUGUAAUUUUAAACACUAUUUAUCUGACAGCAGCUGAGAUUAGUUUAAGAUUAAAUCACCAGCAAUCAUUUUGACACAACACAGAUACAUUGAAACAGCUCGCCCGGCUGUUCUGUUAGUAACAUAUGGGUGUAUUUCCUGGUCCACAGUGUCUGUUUUUGGAGCUGCCCCCAAGCCCUGUCCCGACCGCUUCUGCUCUACGUACAAAAUGCUAAAAUCUAGGAUCCUGUUAACCUGCAGCGGUGACGCCAAGUUCUCCUGCAACCGUUCCAACAGCGAGUCCCGUUAUUGUCAUUUUUAAAAACAUUAACAUCAUGACCUGGGUUUGAGUAACAACACGUCUUCACAGAAACCACAGACACAAGUUUCCUGAUGUCGGGGGGAAGCCUGAUUCAGGGUCCUUGAAGUCAACAGGUUUGGUGGAAACCAAUGAAAUACACCCAAUGCACAAGAGAAGCACAAGGGACUCUGGGAAUGUUUCACAUCUGAGGCUUUUAAGGUUCCAGUCUGCUAAAUGCUACUUCAGUUUUUUUUUUUAUUCCUCAUCACGUUUGAGCUGGAAACUGCAAUCCCAGAAUUCCUCAGUGGCAAAAAAAUGGCUCCUUAAACCUUUGAGCUAGUUUAGAGUCUUUUAUCUCUGAGAAGAGAGAGAGGUUUGUAGACUACACGACAGCAAAGCAAUAGCAGAAACAGAAAAAAGUAAUACAUACAAAAAGGAAGCAGCAAAAUAGGUGACACUACAUUGGAAGGCCACCACACAAAAUCCACUAACCUCCACUGGUUCACUAAGACUGCAAGGGGGCUGGAAGGAGAACCAAUGUUUCCCCUCCCGAGCCCGGACUAGCACAGAGAGGACAAAGGACAAAACAGCUACAUUAGCUUAGUAUAUACUGCAUAUAGUAACACACACUUAAGUUGCUAUGGAGACUGACAGCCAAUGACACUUACACAUUGUACAAGUUUACGGUUAUCACGCUGCGUAAUAGAUGACUUGAUGGACGGCUGCCAAAGGAUGAAGUGACAGUUUUCUUCCGUUUUAUUACUUUAGUGUUUUUUUUUUUUUUUUUACAUCAAAUCACAGUGUUUUAACACCAUACUGUGAUAGUAAAGUUUUUUUUGGCAACAAUGGGUAAAAAUUAGGAAUGGAUUUUCAAAAAAAAAUUUUUUGAUUGAAAAUGCAUGUCCUUAUUACAAUCUCUAUUUGAUAUGUGAUUUCCAGAGAGAGUUAAGGGGUACAGGGAUGAAGGGGAACUGAUUUCGGAAAGGACACCAGGCUUUAAGCUAAAGAGGGAGUGUAAACAAUUAACCCAAAAAUUAUUAAAAAAUCCCCAAAACAAUGAAAAAAGCUUUGAUCAAAGCCUGUUGGAGUUCAACAUUCAUCUUCAAGUUUAUGAUGCAAUAUUAGUCUCAGUUGAACUGAGAGAUAAAAAAGAAUUCAACAAACAAACAAACAAAAACAAAAAACCUAUCAAACUUCUGUAUCCCUUUACAAACUCAAUCUGAUUGAGUUAAAGUACUCUCUCAUGCUCAUGGGUAAGUGAUAAACAUAAAAAAAAAAUCGAAAACAAAAAAAAUCUGUUGAAGGUUUGACUUUUCAGUGGAAAAGCUCUGAAGCCGCCGUUUGUCUGGAGUUCCGGAACAGUACCUACAUCAGCCAGCUGAGUGAGGGUAACUCAAUGAUAGCACCAUGAAUCUGCAAACAGAAGAUGGAACUGGAAAAAUCUCACACUGACCUGUUCCAUGUCCUGGGAUUUUAUAGUAACAUUCUAUUCACAGGUCAAUACCCGGCUUAAAUUGCUUUUUUAAAAUGCAUGAUUUGCAAGUUAAGUUUAGCUAUAAAAA